GAUGAACGCUAGCGACAGGCUUAACACAUGCAAGUCGAGGGGCAGCGAGGGCGUAGCAAUACGCCUGUCGGCGACCGGCGCACUGGUGAGUAACACGUAUGCGACCUGCCCCCUACAGGGGUAUAACCCGUAGAAAUGCGGACUAAUCCCCCAUAGUCCUGGGUGCUGCAUGGCAUUCAGGGGAAAGGGUUUCCGGUAGGGGAUGGGCAUGCGGCGCAUUAGCUAGUUGGCGGGGCAACGGCCCACCAAGGCGACGAUGCGUAGGGGUUCUGAGAGGAAGGCCCCCCACACUGGGACUGAGACACGGCCCAGACUCCUACGGGAGGCAGCAGUGAGGAAUAUUGGACAAUGGAGGCAACUCUGAUCCAGCCAUGCCGCGUGAAGGACUAAGGCCCUAUGGGCUGUAAACUUCUUUAGACGCAGAGCAAUAAGGGCCACGUGUGGUCCGAUGAGAGUAUGCGUAGAAUAAGCAUCGGCUAACUCCGUG
RNAcentral lists this ribosomal RNA (487 nucleotides) under uncultured bacterium. RNAcentral describes it as "bacterial SSU rRNA". It matches the Rfam family "Bacterial small subunit ribosomal RNA", at positions 28 to 507 of the family's 1533-position model. The record is from RNAcentral.